AUACGUAGGGUGCGAGCGUUAAUCGGAAUUACUGGGCGUAAAGCGUGCGCAGGCGGUUAUGUAAGACAGAUGUGAAAUCCCCGGGCUCAACCUGGGAACUGCAUUUGUGACUGCAUGGCUAGAGUACGGUAGAGGGGGAUGGAAUUCCGCGUGUAGCAGUGAAAUGCGUAGAUAUGCGGAGGAACACCGAUGGCGAAGGCAAUCCCCUGGACCUGUACUGACGCUCAUGCACGAAAGCGUGGGGAGCAAACAGGAUUAGAUACCCUGGUAGUCCACGCCCUAAACGAUGUCAACUGGUUGUUGGGUCUUCACUGACUCAGUAACGAAGCUAACGCGUGAAGUUGACCGCCUGGGGAGUACGGCCGCAAGGUUGAA
Molecule: ribosomal RNA, 375 nt
Filed under: uncultured bacterium
Lineage: Bacteria
Description: bacterial SSU rRNA
Rfam family: Bacterial small subunit ribosomal RNA
Source: RNAcentral